Molecule: long non-coding RNA, 245 nt
Filed under: Lupinus angustifolius (narrow-leaved blue lupine)
Lineage: Eukaryota; Viridiplantae; Streptophyta; Magnoliopsida; Fabales; Fabaceae
Description: long non-coding RNA (LANG_LNC002403)
Source: RNAcentral
UUAUACUCAUUCAUUCAAGAUCACGAGCUCCUUCACUCUCAGGGCUGGGUCAACACAAGAUCUUGCACGCUCGAUGGGCAUGAGAGUUAGAAUAUCCUAUUGAGUCAUAGAUGCACGUGAUAACCCCUUUUAGGUUAACUAUUUGAGUGCCAACGUAUGAGUCCCAACAAAGUCUUUUAGAUAGGUUAGUUUUUGUAGUAUGUUGAAGAUCAACUCAAUUUGUAGAUGAGAUGUUUGGAUUUGUG